Molecule: ribosomal RNA, 465 nt
Filed under: uncultured bacterium
Lineage: Bacteria
Description: partial 16S ribosomal RNA
Rfam family: Bacterial small subunit ribosomal RNA
Source: RNAcentral
CCUACGGGCGGCAGCAGUGGGGAAUAUUGCGCAAUGGGCGAAAGCCUGACGCAGCGACGCCGCGUGAUGGAUGAAGGUCUUCGGAUCGUAAACCUCUGUCAGCAGGGAAGAACGGUCACUGUGCUAAUCAGCAGUGAAUUGACGGUACCUGCAAAGGAAGCACCGGCUAACUCCGUGCCAGCAGCCGCGGUAAUACGGAGGGUGCGUGCGGGAAUCGGAAUUAAUGGGCGUAAAGCGCUCGUAGGCGGUAUGUCAAGUCAAGGGUGAAAUCCCCGGGCUCAACGUGGGAACUGCCUUUGAAACUGGCAAACUGGAGUGUGUGAGAGGAUAGUGGAAUUCCAGGUGUAGGAGUGAAAUCCGGAGAUAUCUGGAGGAACAUCAGUGGCGAAGGCGACUAUCUGGCACAUAACUGACGCUGAGGAGCGAAAGCGUGGGUAGCAAACAGGAUUAGAUACCCUUGUAGUC